Molecule: long non-coding RNA, 2875 nt
Filed under: Salmo salar (Atlantic salmon)
Lineage: Eukaryota; Metazoa; Chordata; Actinopteri; Salmoniformes; Salmonidae
Description: lncRNA (ENSSSAG00000113726.1)
Source: RNAcentral
AGAGUCGACCUAUGAAAUGAUCUGUCUGCAUGCAUUAACAUGGUCAGAUUUUUCAAACAAACACACGGGCAAGCCAAGAUUCACCAAACAAAAUAUUUGCAAGGCUAAUGACCUCGAGGACAUUGGUCUACAGGUAAUACAAUCAGGCGACCCCUAACCCACAAGAAACCUGGUCUGUACAUAACUGUAGAAGUUCGAAAUGAAUCAUGUUCUGUAGAUAAUGUCUCCGACUGCUGAUAUUGGUGCACUCAAUCUAUCAGCCAAAAACAAUAAAGCACUGGACUAAUUUCAGUUUUCAAAGAUCUCCAUUGUUUGCACCUAGGUUUACUUAUUAUAAUCAAUCAUAAAAGUAUCUUAAAAUACAGUUGAAAUAAUUGUAACAUGCUAAAAUGUAUUAAAAUGACCUGUCAUUAUACAAUAAGGCCCUGUGUCAAAUGACUUUUGCCUAAUUUAUAUAGAAUACAUAACAACAAAAGAACAAUCAGGUAUAACAGUCUUUUUUUAUUCUCCAUUCCAAGCCAUCAAUGAACAUUCCUUACUGUUUGCACCAUUAUAAAAGGCCAAAACUUUUCAUCCAUUAUUUUUUCAUAUAGUUAAGGAAAGGAUAUGUGAAAGUCUAAAUUAGAUCACUAUUGAAUGCUAUUCCGAUAAACCAUUUUUAAAAUUCAUCAGGCUCACACACAAAGACAAGACUACUCAUUCCAUUCAAAAUUUCCAAUGUCAAUGUCACGUUUUUUUUCUCUGUUGUCCAGUUUUUUUUCUCCUGGUUUUCCUAUACUCAUCCCUCAAAUUUUGCUGGCUUUCAUCUCACCACAAAUGCUGCAAACACAGGCUGCCCCUCUGCAAUGAUGUGUGGGGCACAAAGACUCAACACUGCAUCCAUGUCUCACAUCUCUUCCUACAUGUACCUCACUCCCCCUCUCUACACUUGAGUGGUUGUAUUUCCUUUUAGUUAUCUGUAUACUCCUUUGCCACAACGGACAUUUUUAUAUUUAUCUUCAGAAGCUUGUGUUGGAGGUUUUUUCGGAUCAUUAGGGACUUCACAUUUAUAUUAGCUUCAGACCAAGUCAACAGCCUGACUUAUUGCCUCACCGAUUGCCUCAGGAAUCUGGAUGUCGCCAGUCAGGUUCAAGUCCUUUUUUAAUUCACAGUCAAUUUGCACUUCAACGGCAUCCUCUGGCUUGUCAAUGCCGUUGACACAUUCCUUUUGCUGUGGCUCCGGGGCAGACACGGCAGCUAGCUUGGCUGCCUGCUCCUGACACUCCCCAUUGACCUCAGGGGCAGAAGGCUCAGCAGUAGCCUCCGCUGCGGAAACAUCUUCCCUGUUGUCCAGCACAGCAUCCUGUGGCCCAGCGCUGGCCUCCUCUGCAGCAGCAGCUUCAGGUUCAAGCUCCGCUACGGAUUCUUCUACAGGUAGGGGGAGCUCUUUAGCGGCUGGUUCUAGGACGGAUUCUGUUUCUGCGGCUGCCUCUGGAUCUGCGGCUGCCUCUGACUCUGACACAGCUUCUGCAAUUGAUGUAGGCUCCUCCUCCAGUGUGGGUGAAGCUGCUUCUGCCUCUAUUGGUGCCUCGGGCACAGCCUCAGGUUCUGGGGCCUCCCCUGUAACAGUCUCUGUUUCAGGCUCUUCUGAUGCAGGCUCUUUUGGUGCUGCCUCAGGCUUUUCUGGUGCAGGCUCUUUUGGUGCUGCCGCAGGCUCUUCUGCUGCAUGCUCUUUUGGUGCUGACGCAGGCUCUUCUGGAGCAGGCUCUUCCACUGCAGGCUCUUUUGGUGCUGCCACAGGCUCUUUUGGUGCAGGUUCUUUUGGUGCUGCCGCAGGCUCUUCUGGUACAGGCUCUUCCACUGCAGGCUCUUUUGGUGUAGCCACUGUUUCGUCUAGUGCCGCUGGUUCUUCCGGUGCCUCUGUUUUAUCUGGUGCUGUUACAGGUUCCUCUGGUGAUGCUGCUGAUUCCUCAGCUGCUGCAGGUUCUUCCAGUGCUGACACUGGCUCUUCUGGAGCUGCGGCUGGUUCCUCUGCUACUGCUGCAGGUUCUUCCGGUGCCAACACUGGCUCUUCUGGAGCUGCAGGUUCUUCUGGUGCUGCAGCUGGUGCUGGCUCCUCUGGUGCUGCAGCUGGUUCUUCUGAAGCUACUGGUUUUUCUGCUGUUGGCGCUGAUUCUGCCAUUGCUGCCACAGGUUCAUCUGGUACAGUUGCUGGCUCUGCGGUGGCCCCCUUGGCCACAGCAUCUAUAGCUGACAGGGCCUCUUCUGUCACAUCUUUGAUGGUUACCGCUGCCGACUCCACUGCUCCCUCUACCGCAGCAGACACCUUAGGAGCAUCCUUCGCUGCCAACUCAGCGACCGGAGCUGGUGCUUUGCUCUCCACGGCAUGGGCCAUGGCCUCAACGGCACUCACAGCAGCCACAGUAAUCUCCUCCUUCUUGUCCUUUGGGUCGCUGACAUCGUACCCCUUCUUCCUCUUGCUCAGCUUGCCUCCCAUGGUGUCUCCUAAAAGUGAAUAAUAAAAUCAGAAUGACUUAACAAGUGUGACAGGUUGUUGCGUUUGAUCAUCUAUGCAUAGUAUAUAUCCAUUUCCUUUAAUUACCCACCACAAACCUCAAUACCAAGUUAAAGCGGAAUAAAAUUCAAAGCAUUGCAAUCAUGCCAACAUAGUGCCGCCUGUCUCCGUUGUAAGAAAGCACUCAGUCGGGCUUUAAAGGGGGAAGGCAUUUCAAUCUGGAGACCACACUCUGCCAAAUACUAUUGGCUAAAAAACAAAUGACCACUGCAUGGGAACUACUCCAAGUUCUAAACUAUCCAGUGCUCUUGUAUAAACCACAGGACAAGACACCCUCUCUGGAGUCUUAGGUAAUGUUAUUAUGUGCCAAGUGAGCCUCCC